This 688-nucleotide long non-coding RNA is filed under the name Androctonus crassicauda. Lineage: Eukaryota; Metazoa; Arthropoda; Arachnida; Scorpiones; Buthidae. The record is from RNAcentral.
AAAAUGGUAGAUGGGGCAAUUUGGUAAAACUGGCGGAAAUCAUUAAAAAUUAAAAUUUGUUUUAAAUAAAAUGAAAAAAAAAUUAAGUAUAUAAUAAGAAAAAAGAAUAAGUUUUCUUUAAAAUUCUUAUUUUUUUCAAUUAUAAUGAAAAUUAAUGACUUCAUGAAAGGAAAACAAAAUAGAGAUUUUUAUAUCAAGAUUGAACUUGGAAUCAAGUACAUUUUUACUGACUCCAACUCCAUAAUGCUGUAUUUCUGGUGCCUAUCAUGGGUAUUCAUACCCCUGAUGAGAAUGAUCUAAGAUACCAAUGGAACUAUGCUAUGUAUUCAGUUGUACCAAUUGGAUUCAUGGUAUUUAUUCAGUUGCAUCUCUCAAAUCUGAAGUUUGCAAAAUGUGUUCAGCUAACCAAGUCUAGACUCCUCCUGAAAAAUGUAGAAAUGAAGAACCUAGAAUUGAACUCAGAUUCUCCAAUAUUAUGAUUGCUUUACCACAUGACUCAUUUUAAAGGUUGUGAAUUGAUAGUGAACCCAGAUUUUUCUAAAUGCUUGUGUAGAUAUAGGACUGGAAUUGAGCUUGAAUACUCCAGAUAAUAAAUGCCAGCAUGCAUGAAUAAAAUUUUUUAUAUUAUUUCCAUGCUAGCCACUGGCUCAUUAGGCACUCUAAGUAAACUAUGUCAUUUAAAUAUUUU